UAACUCGAAGGUCAUGGGUUCGACCCCCCUGCUGACCAGGUUGGCUAGCUCAGUUGGUUAGAGCGUCGAGCUAAUAUC
Molecule: transfer RNA, 78 nt
Filed under: Rhizoctonia solani AG-1 IB
Lineage: Eukaryota; Fungi; Basidiomycota; Agaricomycetes; Cantharellales; Ceratobasidiaceae
Description: tRNA-Ile
Source: RNAcentral